RNAcentral lists this ribosomal RNA (236 nucleotides) under uncultured bacterium. Its description in RNAcentral is "partial 16S ribosomal RNA". It matches the Rfam family "Bacterial small subunit ribosomal RNA", at positions 99 to 334 of the family's 1533-position model. The record is from RNAcentral.
CAAACGGGUGAGUAACACAUUGAUAAUCUACCCUGAAGACGUGGAUAAGCCUGUGAAAACGGGCCUAAUACACGAUAAUAAUGGGGGGACAUAAGUCAUUCCCAUUUAAAGUUCCGACGCUUCAGGAUGAGUCUAUGGCCUAUCAGCUUGUUGGUAAGGUAAAAGCUUACCAAGGCUCUGACGGGUAGCGGGUGUGAGAGCACGACCCGCCUCAUUGGGACUGAGACACUACCCAA